GAGUUUGAUCCUGGCUCAGAUUGAACGCUGGCGGCAGGCCUAACACAUGCAAGUCGAGCGGUAGAGAGAAGCUUGCUUCUCUUGAGAGCGGCGGACGGGUGAGUAAUGCCUAGGAAUCUGCCUGGUAGUGGGGGAUAACGCUCGGAAACGGACGCUAAUACCGCAUACGUCCUACGGGAGAAAGCAGGGGACCUUCGGGCCUUGCGCUAUCAGAUGAGCCUAGGUCGGAUUAGCUAGUUGGUGAGGUAAUGGCUCACCAAGGCGACGAUCCGUAACUGGUCUGAGAGGAUGAUCAGUCACACUGGAACUGAGACACGGUCCAGACUCCUACGGGAGGCAGCAGUGGGGAAUAUUGGACAAUGGGCGAAAGCCUGAUCCAGCCAUGCCGCGUGUGUGAAGAAGGUCUUCGGAUUGUAAAGCACUUUAAGUUGGGAGGAAGGGCAGUAAAUUAAUACUUUGCUGUUUUGACGCUACCGACAGAAUAAGCACCGGCUAACUCUGUGCCAGCCG
Molecule: ribosomal RNA, 510 nt
Filed under: uncultured bacterium
Lineage: Bacteria
Description: bacterial SSU rRNA
Rfam family: Bacterial small subunit ribosomal RNA
Source: RNAcentral